RNAcentral lists this long non-coding RNA (1163 nucleotides) under Oryctolagus cuniculus (rabbit). RNAcentral describes it as "lncRNA (ENSOCUG00000038319.1)". Lineage: Eukaryota; Metazoa; Chordata; Mammalia; Lagomorpha; Leporidae. The record is from RNAcentral.
UCUCAUUCCAGUUAAGUCAAAAGAUGCACUCCUACAAUUCCAGAUAUCUAUGAAGUACUUCUGUUAAUUCCCAUCACCAACUUUUCACUCCAUACAAAUCAGAAUUUUUUGUAACAUUUCUCAUGUUGUAUAACCAUGUUAUUUAUGAGUAAAGAAUCAUUCAAUAUAUAGUAGUUAGUAGUAGACAUAGCUAAUACGGUUGGGGCAUCAAGAAGCUAUAUUCUUGUCAGAAACUUAAGAAAGCAAAACAAACAAAUGGUGACAACAUAUUCAAAAUAUUAGUGUAAGCGCUAUGGUGACUAUAACUACAGGACACAGAUGGUUGCCAGUGGGGAAUGAUGAUUAGCCAUUAAUUGGCUUUUCAUUUCUAUUUGAGGCCAAAAGAAAAUAAGAAUAGAGAAUGGAUAAAUUUAACAGGUGACAUUACUAGAAAACUUCCCCUUUGUUAUUUUAUUCUUACCAGUCUCUUCAAUACUCCAGUGGGAUUCCUUGCAGAGAUUCUAAGAGUCAGUGACAAGAAAUGCUUGUGCCUUCCAGUUCCCCCUGCCUCUAGAGUUCAUGAUGAAGAACAGAUCCUGGGCAAUAGCUGCAUUUGGACAUGUGCAUCGCUACUCCUUGCAACCAGCAAUAAACAAGAAAGAGUAAGAGAGAAGAAAACUUGUUAACACCAUGCUGUAUCUAAACAAGCAAUCCCAGAUGGCAUCCUUUAUGCCUUCUGCCACUGAUAAGAAAAGAUUGAGCAGGGAAAAUAAGCAGCAGCUGACAAGCCAUACCCAGCCUUAAGACCAACAGGGAGAACAGACAUCAGCUCUGUGCUCUGUCCUCAGUCAUGGCUCAGCACCCAACCCAGAGGCCUGCCUGCCUUCAAACACCUGCAGCAGUACACUGUUUUAUGGAACCAAUGAAUCAUGGGAUGCUAUAGACCAAAGCAUUUUCUUUCUAAUUCAACCCUUAGUGUGCUGAUGGAAAGCAAGGCAUGAAGCCAUCCGUUAAUUUUAUUUAAGGACAUGUUGUUGUUAGAAAAGACAGACAAGAAAUGAGAUUCAAGAGCUCCUGACUCCUAGCCAGGAUUUUUCCCAGAACCCAAAGCUGACUUCUCCUUAAACAUGCAUUAUUCUAAUAUAUAUAUGGUUCUGAGAAUACGACAGCAGCUUCGUUGAAAG